Molecule: long non-coding RNA, 491 nt
Filed under: Brassica napus (rape)
Lineage: Eukaryota; Viridiplantae; Streptophyta; Magnoliopsida; Brassicales; Brassicaceae
Description: long non-coding RNA (BNAP_LNC006725)
Source: RNAcentral
GAGAUCCCUUUUGUGUUGUAAGUCAGUGAGUUACAUGCAAUGUACAUGUUUCAAAAAUCCUGAAAAUAUUUUUCAUCACGGAGCCGGCCUCCUUUCUUUUCUUGGUUAGAGAGAAUUUCAUUGAAAUCACCUACUAGAUCCAAAGGCCUUGUCUUGUGGUUACCAUUCUUUCUAUUCUUUUCCACAACACAUGGUGAUACUUAAGGUUUGGAUCACCAUAAAUACAAAAUAAGUAGAAAACAAUAUCAUCAGAUUUCACUUCAACCUCUAACAUUCUUACAUCCCAAAAUAAAUUUCUGACAUAAACCUCCUUCUUCCAAAAUAAAGAUAAGCCACCACUCCUACCAACAGAAGGAAUUGAGAAAAUAUUAUCAAAUUCUAAGACAAAAACUAAGUCACACACACAAUACAACUACUAUACUUUCAAAAAUGAAAAACAUAUCCGGGGAAACAGAAUGACAUAUUUCUUUGACUCGCGGGUCAGCCAGCAG